Molecule: RNA transcript, 1917 nt
Organism: Numida meleagris (helmeted guineafowl)
Lineage: Eukaryota; Metazoa; Chordata; Aves; Galliformes; Numididae
Gene name: T-cell-interacting, activating receptor on myeloid cells protein 1-like
Exons: 4
Source: RefSeq, a predicted model, not a curated record
UCUCCUGCCACAUCCUGUCCCCACUGCAGUCUCGCUGUCCCCAGGCUGAUCCUGCCUCAUGGCACCAAUGGUGCUGGCCCUCAUCCUGGGUUGGUGGCUGAUGGCAGCGAUCAGGGCACAGAACGUGCCCCGACCCUCCCUGUCGCUGCAUCCCAGCCAGGGGGUGUCCGUGGGUGACACUGUCACCCUGCGCUGCCACCUGCCCCAGUCGGCUGCCUGGGUCUGGCUGUACCAGGACAGAGGCUGGAGAUACAGCAAGAGCAAGGACAAGAAGCAGGACGCAGCUGAGUUCUCCUUUGUCAGCACAAGUCAGGAACACGCAGGUGUAUAUCAGUGCCAGUACCGGGUGCCUGAGUCAGAGGAGAUAUCAGAGCAGAGUGACCCCGUGCAGCUGGUGGUGACAGGUGAGGGCACUGGGGACAGCAAAUGGCUCUGGGUGCUCCCAACAGAACCAUGUCCCAGUGCUGUCCCCUCUCCUCAUGCAGAUCGCAGCUAUUCCCUGCCCGGCAUUUCCCUUCGCCCUGAGGAACAUGUGGGGACAGGGACCAAUGUCACCAUCCACUGCUGGAACAAGGACUAUGGGGCCACAUUCCUCCUGCACAAGGAUGGGUGUUCAGCUCCUAUCCAGAGCCAGGAGCCUGACAGUAGGGGCACAGCCACCUUCACCCUCUUUGGGGUGACCCCAUCUGACAGUGGCACCUAUAGGUGCUCCUACCACCCCUGGGGAUAUCCCUUUCUGUCCUCACCACUUGGGGACAGUGUGACACUGGAGGUGGCACCCACACCUGCACCCCCAGGUGGGUCUCAACCCCAUUUGGGUACCACUUGGUGUCCACCAUGGGUGGCUGUGUCAUCUCCUGUCCCCACCAAGGUAGUGGCCAGGGAUGUGAUAACCUGAUCAUCCUGACCUCACAGGUGCUGUAUUUACUUCUCAUGGGAACUUGGUGGUGGUGGUGGCUGGGGGCUGCGCUGCUGCCUUUGUCUUCAUCCUCAUCCUUGUUUUCUUCUUCCUCACCGCCCGCAGAUGUCGGAUACAGAGAGAUGAGAGCCCUGGUGGGGAAGGGGUUAAAUGUCUUUUUUUCCCCGUAGAUCCCUUCCAAGGCUGCUCAGUCCUCUCCAUAACACCCACUCCAUUCCCCUCCUUGUUUUAAUGCAGGUUCCCCCACAAAAAAUCCUGAGGCCAUGGAGUUCCAGGUAAAUCUCUGGGUCAGGGAACCCCAAAUCCCAACCUGACCCUUGGAGCCCGCCCGAGUCCCACGGAGAGCCUCAAACCCUGCCCAUGGGAACCCAGGGGAUUCCCAGCCUCAUGUGGUUUGCCCUCAUGUUAAGCGCACCACACAAACCCAGCCCAUGGAGAACUGCAAAUCAGCAUCACCGCAUCAGGAACCCCAAACAUCACUUGUGGGGUGUCUCCCAGAGCACACUGGGGACGCACAUGGUGACACUCUUCUGUCCCCCUGUGUCCCCAGGUGUCACCCGGUGACAGCGAGGGUCUGACCUACAUCGAGCUGCAAGCUGUGACCUCCAGCACACAGCCCCCAACACCCCCUUCUGCCCUGCAGCCCUCUGUUAUCUACGCCGAGGUGGCCACUGGGGGGCACCACUGAUGCCUCCGAUCUGUGUGCACAAACACGUGUGUGUUGGGUGCACACAUGUACUUCAAGUGUGCACAGUCCAGCAAACACCAAGGACACACGUGUGCUCCCCAUGGCACAUCUGCAUCGCUCCAACCCAACCAGCACCCAUCCCACAAUGAUUUUGGGACAGGAUUCCCAUUUCUGGAGUGUUUUCCUUCCACACUUCUGGAGGAUAAUUCCCUUUCUGAAGGGUUUAUCCUGCUUUUUGGGGGAGGAUUCCUCUUUCUGCAGGGCUUUACCCUUCCUGUACCCCUAGAGAGUUUGAUUCCUAUUCCAAGAA